CGCGUAGGCGGCCUGCUAAGUCUGGAGUGAAAGCCCUGCUUUCAAGGUGGGAAUUGCUUUGGAUACUGGUGGGCUGGGGUGCAGGAGAGGAAAGCGGAAUUACCGGUGUAGCGGUGAAAUGCGUAGAGAUCGGUAGGAACACCAGUGGCGAAGGCGGCUUUCUGGACUGAAACUGACGCUGAGGCGCGAAAGCGUGGGGAGCAAACA
RNAcentral lists this ribosomal RNA (207 nucleotides) under uncultured bacterium. Its description in RNAcentral is "partial 16S ribosomal RNA". It matches the Rfam family "Bacterial small subunit ribosomal RNA", at positions 568 to 774 of the family's 1533-position model. The record is from RNAcentral.